This 1393-nucleotide ribosomal RNA is filed under the name Notonemoura maculata. Its description in RNAcentral is "SSU rRNA". It matches the Rfam family "Eukaryotic small subunit ribosomal RNA", at positions 560 to 1799 of the family's 1831-position model. Lineage: Eukaryota; Metazoa; Arthropoda; Insecta; Plecoptera; Notonemouridae. The record is from RNAcentral.
UCUGGUGCCAGCAGCCGCGGUAAUUCCAGCUCCAAUAGCGUAUAUUAAAGUUGUUGCGGUUAAAAAGCUCGUAGUUGGACUUGUGUCCCACGCCGUCGGUUCGUCGCCCGUCGACGUUAACCGCACGGUCAAUACGCAUAGUGGGACGUCCAGCCGGUGAGGUGCCUGGUCGCCGGUCGGCCGGCCGUGCGUUCGUCGCCUCGUGCUGUUCGCGCGACUACCGGCUCGUCCGGGGUCCGCUGCGGUGCGGCGGUGGCGCGCGCUCGCGCCCAAGCCUCCGGCGGUGCCGGCCUCAUGCUACUCGUCUCGGUGCUCUUAACCGAGUGUCUUGACGGGCCGGCUCGUUUACUUUGAACAAAUUAGAGUGCUUAAAGCAGGCUCACCACGCUUGAAUAUUGUGUGCAUGGAAUAAUGGAAUAGGAUCUCGGUUCUAUUUUGUUGGUUUUCUGAACCAGAGAUAAUGAUUAAUAGAGACUGACGGGGGCAUUCGUAUUGCGACGUUAGAGGUGAAAUUCUUGGAUCGUCGCAAGACGAACCGAAGCGAAAGCGUUUGCCAAGAACGUUUUCUUUAAUCAAGAACGAAAGUUAGAGGUUCGAAGGCGAUCAGAUACCGCCCUAGUUCUAACCAUAAACGAUGCCAACUAGCGAUCCGCCGGUGUUCCUCCGAUGACCCGGCGGGCAGCUUCCGGGAAACCAAAGUGUUUGGGUUCCGGGGGUUGCUGAAACUUAAAGGAAUUGACGGAAGGGCACCACCAGGAGUGGAGCCUGCGGCUUAAUUUGACUCAACACGGGAAACCUCACCAGGCCCGGACACUGGAAGGAUUGACAGAUUGAUAGCUCUUUCUUGAUUCAGUGGGUGGUGGUGCAUGGCCGUUCUUAGUUGGUGGAGCGAUUUGUCUGGUUAAUUCCGAUAACGAACGAGACUCUGGCCUGCUAACUAGUCGCACCGCAAACGACAUCCGCAUUCGUGCUGUCGGCGACCGUAUAUAAACUCUUCUUAGAGGGACAGGCGGCUUUCUAGCCGCACGAGAUAGAGCAAUAACAGGUCUGUGAUGCCCUUAGAUGUUCUGGGCCGCACGCGCGCUACACUGAAGGGAUCAACGUGUGUUCAACCCUCGGCCGAGAGGUCCGGGUAACCCGCUGAAACCCCUUCGUGCUAGGGAUUGGGGCUUGCAAUUGUUCCCCAUGAACGAGGAAUUCCCAGUAAGCGCGAGUCAUAAGCUCGCGUUGAUUACGUCCCUGCCCUUUGUACACACCGCCCGUCGCUACUACCGAUUGAAUGAUUUAGUGAGGUCUUCGGACCGUCGCGCGACAGCGCACGCGAGUGCCUGCCGAUGUCGACGGAAAGAUGAUCAAACUUGAUUAUUUAGAGGAAGUAAAAGUCGUAACAAGG